GUGGUGGCUCAGCGGUAGAGCGCUCACCUUACACGUGUGAGGCCCUGGGUUCGCUCCUCAGCACCACA
Molecule: transfer RNA, 68 nt
Filed under: Ictidomys tridecemlineatus (thirteen-lined ground squirrel)
Lineage: Eukaryota; Metazoa; Chordata; Mammalia; Rodentia; Sciuridae
Description: Spermophilus tridecemlineatus (thirteen-lined ground squirrel) tRNA
Rfam family: tRNA
About the family: Transfer RNA (tRNA) molecules are approximately 80 nucleotides in length. Their secondary structure includes four short double-helical elements and three loops (D, anti-codon, and T loops).
Source: Rfam by way of RNAcentral